RNAcentral lists this unclassified non-coding RNA (319 nucleotides) under uncultured fungus. RNAcentral describes it as "partial contains 5.8S ribosomal RNA and internal transcribed spacer 2". The stretch from base 1 to 133 matches the Rfam family "5.8S ribosomal RNA", at positions 22 to 154 of the family's 154-position model. Lineage: Eukaryota; Fungi. The record is from RNAcentral.
UGGUUCUGGCAUCGAUGAAGAACGCAGCGAAAUGCGAUAAGUAGUGUGAAUUGCAGACUUUAGUGAAUCAUCGAAUCUUUGAACGCACAUUGCGCCCCUUGGUAUUCCAUUGGGCAUGCCUGUUCGAGCGUCAUUUACACCCUCAAGCUCUGCUUGGUGUUGGGCGUCUGUCUUGCCUUGUGCAAAGACUCGCUCUAAAUAUAUUGGCAGCAGCAGUUCCAGCUUCUUGCGCAGCACAUUGCGCUCUAGGAUUUUGGUGGGCUUGCAUCCAUGAAGAACCUCCCAGUUUGACCUCGAAUCAGGUAGGGAUACCCGCUGA